GUUCUAGCUGGGGAGCUUCGUGGAGCUCAUGGGCAGAGGCCAGGCUCCCUCUUCCUGAGUACCCCAGGCCCUCUUCACCAAGUGACAUCAGGAGUAGGGAUGUCCCAGAGGCCUUGGGUGUGCUGGGGUUACAGACCUGCAUCGCUGACCACGCCCUUUUCUCUGGGUGAUUGUGGGUCUUAAGACCUUCCAGGUGACCCCCCCCUCCCUCAAGCUAGAGGCACAGGGUGGAGGCCCCGAGGGAUGCUUUCAGAUGGCACACAGAAUGGCAGUGGCAGACACUGCCUGGCACUGUCAGAAUGGCUGUGAGGGCUCAGGAAGUGACCGGGUCCUGGCUUGAGAGCGGCUUGCUUCUAAGCUACUUGUUCAUUUCAGCAUCCGAGGCCUUCCUUCCUUCAUUCCUUCUGCUAAGAUGAUCUCACUCUGUGGUCCACGAUGGCCUUGAACAUUCAUGGCGAUCCAGUUCCUUCAGUCUUCGGAGGGCUGGGAUUACAGGCAUAAGCCAUCAUCCUACUCAGCUUUUAGCCCUGCCUCCAGCAUGGGGGGGUAGGUGGUUGGGGUGGGGUUCCCUAUUCAGACUGAUACUACCACCAGAGAGUUCUCUGUGCUCCCAGCUAUCAGGAGAUCAUGCCCACAGGAGGAACUGUUCCAACAGCUUCAACUAUUUGUUCCUCCCACAGUGGCCUUAGGAAACCACUUAAAGCUCAGCACAGUUCUGUCCUUCCAGGAGGACCCAAGGCAGCAGGUAAAAAGGAAACCUCUGGGGUUUGGGCAGCACGCAGAGGGCCAUCUUCCACUGGAGCUUCAUGCAGUGCAGUAGAGACUACCUUUUCUUGAGCUUCAGGCCUGGGGAGACUUCAACUCCCCAGAAUGACUUGGGGAGUGGAUGAAAUCUUGGCCAUU
Molecule: long non-coding RNA, 903 nt
Filed under: Mus pahari (shrew mouse)
Lineage: Eukaryota; Metazoa; Chordata; Mammalia; Rodentia; Muridae
Description: lncRNA (MGP_PahariEiJ_G0003481.1)
Source: RNAcentral